AGCCUGAACGCUGGCGGCGUGGCUAAGACAUGCAAGUCGUACGGGUGUAGCAAUACACCAGUGUCGGACGGGUGAGUAAUGUAUCGCUAACGUACCCCGAAAUCUGGGAUAGCCAUCCGAAAGGAUGGGUAAUACCAGGUAAUAUCACCGGUAGGCAUCUGCUGGUGCUCAUAGGGACACCGUUUUGGGAGCGGGCGAUAUCGUAUCAGCUAGUUGGCGGUGUAACGGACCACCAAGGCGACGACGCGUAGCCGGGCUGAGAGGUUGGCCGGCCACAUUGGGACUGAGACACUGCCCAGACUCCUACGGGGGGCUGCAGUAACGAAUCUUCCGCAAUGCACGCAAGUGUGACGGAGCGACGCCGCGUGUGGGACGAAGCCCUUCGGGGUGUAAACCACUGUCAGAGGAUAGAAAGUUCUGAUCAUCCUCAGAGGAAGGCACGGCUAACUCUGCGCCAGCAGCCGCGGU
This 468-nucleotide ribosomal RNA is filed under the name uncultured bacterium. RNAcentral's name for it is "SSU rRNA". It matches the Rfam family "Bacterial small subunit ribosomal RNA", at positions 26 to 521 of the family's 1533-position model. The record is from RNAcentral.